AUUGAACGCUGGCGGCAGGCCUAACACAUGCAAGUCGAACGGUAACAGGAAACAGCUUGCUGUUUCGCUGACGAGUGGCGGACGGGUGAGUAAUGUCUGGGAAACUGCCUGAUGGAGGGGGAUAACUACUGGAAACGGUAGCUAAUACCGCAUAACGUCGCAAGACCAGAGAGGGGGACCUUCGGGCCUCUUGCCAGCGGAUGUGCCCAGAUGGGAUUAGCUAGUAGGUGGGGUAACGGCUCACCUAGGCGACGAUCCCUAGCUGGUCUGAGAGGAUGACCAGCCACACUGGAACUGAGACACGGUCCAGACUCCUACGGGAGGCAGCAGUGGGGAAUAUUGCACAAUGGGCGCAAGCCUGAUGCAGCCAUGCCGCGUGUAUGAAGAAGGCCUUCGGGUUGUAAAGUACUUUCAGCGGGGAGGAAGGGAGUAAAGUCAAUACCUUUGCUCAUUGACGUUACCCGCAGAAGAAGCACCGGCUAACUCCGUGCCAGCCGCCGCAGUAA
RNAcentral lists this ribosomal RNA (506 nucleotides) under uncultured bacterium. RNAcentral's name for it is "partial 16S ribosomal RNA". It matches the Rfam family "Bacterial small subunit ribosomal RNA", at positions 30 to 523 of the family's 1533-position model. The record is from RNAcentral.